Molecule: long non-coding RNA, 1022 nt
Organism: Macadamia integrifolia
Lineage: Eukaryota; Viridiplantae; Streptophyta; Magnoliopsida; Proteales; Proteaceae
Exons: 7
Source: RefSeq, a predicted model, not a curated record
AGUUAACUCGUGAGUUGUUGACUCAGUGUUUUCUUGCUUCUUCUUUAGUACUUUUUAGAGUAGAUAUCUUCGUGAUCUGUAUCAGAUUAUCAAUGUCCUUAUCUUACAUUAGGGGAAUGCUGAUUUUUAUCCUCCUCUAUGAUUGACAUGAAAUUUUUUUUCUAGAGCAGGAAGAGUCUUAUGGGGCAUAGUACUUGGUUCAUCCAAUAGGGAAAGCUUACAAAAAUGUUGCAGGUAGUCAUUUGGAGCCAGUGUUGAUGCUAAUGAAUACGACAAUGACAGUAUAAAGAUGCGAAGUCAUCCAGUAGGUCCUUUCGAAAGGCAAAGUCGUGAAGAACUAAAGAAGUCCAUAAUGGAGCUUAUAGUUCUAGUUUCAAACCAAAUUACACAUCAGCAUAGGUAAGAGCAACGAACCAAUAAGAAAGUUUGGAGGAAAGAGGUUGCUGCCAAGGGGAGCUUUGAUGAUGGAUUGGGCAUAGACAACCACUUGGAUUGUCUCGGGCCGACAGUGGAAAGCACCACCGAGUUUUGGCUCACGGCGGCUCACUGCCAAAGGGGGAAGGAUGACCCCACUUGCUAGUGCAUCUCCUGCUUAUCCAACUGAAGGGGAUUCAAGCCUUUUGAUCACAGAAGAGAUGUGCACAUACCCCAAGGUCAGAAUUGAAUUGAACACAGGUGGUCGUACUUGGAACCUGAUCUAUUCAAACUUAAUCAAGAUGAUGAUGCAGGUACUGUCGUGCCUAUGGCUUGUGACUCUCUAUCCUCCGAAUUCGAGUACAAAGUGAGUGACUGGUGGAUGCCGGAAGCGGAGGAGCAUGACCAAGGCUGUGCUUACGACUAUUGUGCAUAUGUGGCACCAUGAGAUGCUCAGCGUAUUUUUGUUAUUCUGAUACCGAAUUAUGAAUGGUAUAUUUUUGGGCUUAUUAUUUAUAAGUCGUGGAUAAUUGUAAUGGAAUAACUUGGUUAUUUAUGUAUGUUAUCAUUAGAUGUUUCUCCCAUUUUAAUUUAUGACUUUACUAUUA